GAAUAUUGAGUACGCUCUAUAACCCUUUGUGAACAUACCUAUAACUGUUGCUUCGGCGGGUAGGGUCUCCGCGACCCUCCCGGCCUCCCGCCUCCGGGCGGGUCGGCGCCCGCCGGAGGAUAACCAAACUCUGAUUUAACGACGUUUCUUCUGAGUGGUACAAGCAAAUAAUCAAAACUUUUAACAACGGAUCUCUUGGUUCUGGCAUCGAUGAAGAACGCAGCGAAAUGCGAUAAGUAAUGUGAAUUGCAGAAUUCAGUGAAUCAUCGAAUCUUUGAACGCACAUUGCGCCCGCCAGCAUUCUGGCGGGCAUGCCUGUUCGAGCGUCAUUUCAACCCUCAAGCUCUGCUUGGUGUUGGGGCCCUACAGCUGAUGUAGGCCCUCAAAGGUAGUGGCGGACCCUCCCGGAGCCUCCUUUGCGUAGUAACUUUACGUCUCGCACUGGGAUCCGGAGGGACUCUUGCCGUAAAACCCCCCAAUUUUCCAAAGGUUGACCUCGGAUCAGGUAGGAAUA
RNAcentral lists this ribosomal RNA (514 nucleotides) under fungal sp. E15715B. RNAcentral describes it as "eukaryotic LSU rRNA". The stretch from base 176 to 329 matches the Rfam family "5.8S ribosomal RNA". The record is from RNAcentral. Lineage: Eukaryota; Fungi.